CCCGAGUGGCGGAAGGGUGGAGUAACACGUGAGCAACCCGCCCCAAGGCCGGAACAAGCGCUGGAAACGGCGUCUGAAACCGGAUGAGGACCCCCCUCGCAUGUGGGGGCGUCCAAAUAUUCAUACCCUGGGGAUGGGCUCGCGGCCCAUUAGCUUGUCGGCGGGGCAACGGCCCACCGAGGCGACGACGGGUAGGUGGUCUGAGAGGAUGGUCACCCACACUGGGACUGAGACACUGCCCAGACUCCUGCGGGAGGCUGCAGUCGAGAAUCUUCCGCAAUGGGCGCAAGCCUGAACCGGAGCGAUGCCGCGUGAGGGACGGAGGCCUUCGGGUCGUGAACCUCUGUCGCCCGGGACGAUGAUGACGGUACCGGGAAAGGAAGCCACGGCUAACCACGUGCCAGCAGCAGC
This 411-nucleotide ribosomal RNA is filed under the name uncultured bacterium. Its description in RNAcentral is "bacterial SSU rRNA". It matches the Rfam family "Bacterial small subunit ribosomal RNA", at positions 90 to 518 of the family's 1533-position model. The record is from RNAcentral.